UGGGAUGUGGCCUGGAUAAGUAGUAUCCUU
RNAcentral lists this non-coding RNA (30 nucleotides) under Mus musculus (house mouse). Lineage: Eukaryota; Metazoa; Chordata; Mammalia; Rodentia; Muridae. The record is from RNAcentral.